Tetrahymena thermophila SB210 is the source of this 141-nucleotide small nucleolar RNA. It matches the Rfam family "Tetrahymena snoRNA TtnuHACA11a". Lineage: Eukaryota; Ciliophora; Oligohymenophorea; Hymenostomatida; Tetrahymenidae. The record is from Rfam.
AUCUUGUCAAAGGUUUUGCUGCCUUGUUAAUAGCUAUCCAUUAUUUAUUGACUAACUGUUAAAACCUAAAGAACCUGUGCUCCUCCACAUUUAGUAUCCUAACUAUGGGUAUCUUAAUACUAUCAGAGCACUUCAUUUUUA